This 465-nucleotide ribosomal RNA is filed under the name Centipeda periodontii. Its description in RNAcentral is "bacterial SSU rRNA". It matches the Rfam family "Bacterial small subunit ribosomal RNA", at positions 28 to 468 of the family's 1533-position model. Lineage: Bacteria; Bacillati; Bacillota; Negativicutes; Selenomonadales; Selenomonadaceae. The record is from RNAcentral.
GACGAACGCUGGCGGCGUGCUUAACACAUGCAAGUCGAACGGGAUGAUUUAGAAGCUUGCUUUUAGAGAAUCUAGUGGCAAACGGGUGAGUAACACGUAGACAACCUGCCGACAGGAUGGGGACAACAUUCCGAAAGGAAUGCUAAUACCGAAUGAAGUCAGAGAAGGGCAUCCUUUUCUGAUGAAAGAUGGCCUCUGAAUAUGCUAUCACCUGUCGAUGGGUCUGCGUCUGAUUAGCUGGUUGGUGAGGUAACGGCUCACCAAGGCGACGAUCAGUAGCCGGCCUGAGAGGAUGAACGGCCACAUUGGGACUGAGACACGGCCCAGACUCCUACGGGAGGCAGCAGUGGGGAAUCUUCCGCAAUGGGCGCAAGCCUGACGGAGCAACGCCGCGUGAGUGAAGAAGGUCUUCGGAUCGUAAAGCUCUGUUGAUGGGGACGAACGUGCGAAGGGUGAAUAAUCCUU